AACGCUAACAAACAUCCAUCCAUCCAUCUAAACUUUCGCAUUUAUAGUAUUAGUAAGAUUAGUAAGAUUAAUUUCCGUAUGAUUCCGUAUGAUUUCCGACUUGGUAUACCUAUACCUACCUACCUGGUACAGAUUUAUUUAAGUACAACGGUAUUAUUAGACAUAAGGUAUUCUUGUAAUACGUCAUACCUUUGCACUCAAAGGUAUCAGGUAUAUACGAGAUAUGUAAAUACGAGGUGUGUCGCAGCUGAAGGUGGGCGGCGGCGUGCGGUCGUGGCGCGCGGUGGGCGCGGCGCACGGCGAGCUCUCCGUCUUCUGCUGGUGAUCGCCGCCAGCGCACUACGUCCACUGCGAGGAGCGUCCGCCCUGCGCGCGCUCCUGUGACACCGCGUCACGUCACGUCACGUCACGUCACGUCACGUCACGCGGCGGCAACGACGUGACGACAAAUGUCACGAUACGACAAGCGUCGGCAGAGCUCGCCGGAGAGCGCCGACACAGAACGUGUAACAACAGCCCAGAACGAGCUCGUAACGAGUGCAGUGUCGCGACCUCCGCGGCCAUCUUUUCUAUAACAUUAUUGUAAAUGGACUAAACGGCGUCUAUGUAAAGUUUGUCUGUCCGUGUGAUCGCUCCAGUGUUCGAGUUCCUCUGCACUCUAUGAUCAAAGUACAAAGUGUAUGCGUCGCGCGCUGCUGCUGCUGCUGCGGCGGCGGCGGCGCGGCGCAGGUAGUUUUUUGAUAUCUUUACUCGUUUUUGUAAGUGCGCGAGUGCGGGGGGGUGCGGGGUGCGGGGGUUGAUUUCGAGUGAUGCGGAUUUCUUUGCGCUAUUUUGUAUACGUUAUCAGAACAUAUAACAUUUGCAUUAGGCAGCGCGCGGGCGCACGACUUGCGGAUCUCAUUGUUUCGCAGCAGGGGCGAGUCUUAUUUUCUUACAAUGUUGCGAUCAUUACAAAAGAAGUUUAGUGAUACUUUGCAGCCUCUUUAAGAGUGAAAUGCGAUCGGUCUUUGUAAUGUAUUUGUGACCGAGCGGUGAGCGGAGGUGAGCGAGGGGUAGGCGAGGGGUGAGGGCUGACGCGACUCGUAGUUAUCGUGAAUAUUUGAAGUCGACAAUUAGCUUAAGGUGCACGUUACACUAACUUAAUAUAAAUGUACUAAAAGACAUUACAAAGGAUACUUUCACUUAGAAAACAAAUACUUGUUAGUGAUUUUAUACAUAGUAGACACUCAUUUUUCAAAACGUUUGUCAAAGAUAAAUCGUAGUAAAGUGCGGGAGAGGUCCGCAUCACACGAAGGGCAGUCAUUUUUGACUUGACUUGAUCUCGUAUCGCGGCCGCUCGGUGUUUGUGUUGGCGCAACAUUUAGAUAAUCAUGUACAAGUUUUGUAAGUCGAGUUCGUCAUCGCAAACGUCCGGCGACGCGCGAUUCUUUUGUGUAUUACUGAGGUUAUAUCUAUCCGCUGUGUGCGGGGGCGGCGGGCGGCGGGGGCGGGGGCGACUUCUCUCCCUCGCUUUCUCGUAAUUUUUUAUUUAUAAAUGUGAGGAAAUCAAAGAGAUGAACGUAUAAAAGUGUCGUUUCCAGAUACAGCAAUGUCGGUGCCGCUUGUGACGCCCUCGAAGUAACGUUCUUUAGCAAUUUCUCCAGGUUUAUUAAUAUCGGUGUUAGCAAAAUGUUUUCAUCGAUGAUAUAAACAGCAUUUUUAUCGUUGUAAGGUUUAGAAGAGACUUACAUGUCAGGAAGGGUGCGCCGCCCCCUCCCCCGCCCCCGCACAACUAUAACUUCGUCUGUAGAUGUAGCCGGGCUAAACUUCUGUUAUUCUUGUUGUGUUAUAAAAUGAACAGAAAAUAUAAAAAAAAGAAAAAAGAAAAAGUGGUGUGAAUGAACUCGGUGAAAUUAAAGACAUUUAACAAAUUUUCAAAUUAAUACGAUAAAAGUAAGGACUUUUUUAAGAUGAAAACGUCGCUUGGUAAAUAUUGUAUGUACAUAGCGUAAGUGGUAGCUGUAAGCUGGUUAGAUGUAGUAGGUAUAACAAAUUGUACGGCGGCCGCUUGUCCGACCUCCCCGCCCUGCCUGUCCCUCCCCUGCCCUACCUGUCCCUCCCCUGCCAGACACGCGCGUGGCGACGUCGGGCCGUGGCCGCGAGCCGACUGCGACACGCUUUCUGUAACUUUCAUUCUGAAGCGAUCGAUCAUUUUAACAUUUUUAAACAAAACGGAUAUCAUAAUGAGCGAGCUCGCGGCCAUCUUGCAACUCAGUGGUGAUAUUUUACAAGAUAAUUUAUAUUAUGUUUUAUACAUUGAAUUAACAAGCGUAAUAAAGAGUGAGCAAUGGCACAUGA
This is a long non-coding RNA of Papilio polytes (common Mormon), 2337 nucleotides long. RefSeq lists it as uncharacterized. NCBI's taxonomy places the organism in Eukaryota, Metazoa, Arthropoda, Insecta, Lepidoptera, Papilionidae. The record is from RefSeq and is a predicted model, not a curated record. The transcript is spliced from 2 exons.